CAAUAGCGUAUAUUAAAGUUGUUGCAGUUAAAAAGCUCGUAGUUGAAUUUCUGGCGGGCGCGCCGGUCUUCCAAGUGUUGUACUGGGCGCAGUCCGCCAUCCUUGUGGAGAGGGCUCGCAUUGAGUUGCGUGUCGGAUCUGCAUCAUUUACUGUGAAAAAAUUAGAGUGUUUAAAGCAGGCUGUCGCUUGGGUACAUUAGCAUGGAAUAAUAAGAUAGGACUUCGGUCUAUUUUGUUGGUUGCGAACCGAGGUAAUGAUUAAUAGGGAUAGUUGGGGGUAUUCAUAUUUAAUUGUCAGAGGUGAAAUUCUUGGAUUUAUGAAAGAUGAACAACUGCGAAAGCAUUUACCAAGGAUGUUUUCAUUA
RNAcentral lists this ribosomal RNA (365 nucleotides) under uncultured eukaryote. RNAcentral describes it as "partial 18S ribosomal RNA". It matches the Rfam family "Eukaryotic small subunit ribosomal RNA", at positions 592 to 975 of the family's 1831-position model. The record is from RNAcentral.